AGAGGUGGUAUUUGUAAGUCGCUCUGGAUAAGAGCAUCUGCUAAAUGACGUAAA
Salmo salar (Atlantic salmon) is the source of this 54-nucleotide non-coding RNA. The record is from Rfam. NCBI's taxonomy places the organism in Eukaryota, Metazoa, Chordata, Actinopteri, Salmoniformes, Salmonidae.